Molecule: ribosomal RNA, 728 nt
Filed under: Microbacterium sp. YIM106
Lineage: Bacteria; Bacillati; Actinomycetota; Actinomycetes; Micrococcales; Microbacteriaceae
Description: bacterial SSU rRNA
Rfam family: Bacterial small subunit ribosomal RNA
Source: RNAcentral
UGCAGUCGAACGGUGAACACGGAGCUUGCUCUGUGGGAUCAGUGGCGAACGGGUGAGUAACACGUGAGCAACCUGCCCCUGACUCUGGGAUAAGCGCUGGAAACGGCGUCUAAUACUGGAUAUGUGACGUGACCGCAUGGUCUGCGUCUGGAAAGAAUUUCGGUUGGGGAUGGGCUCGCGGCCUAUCAGCUUGUUGGUGAGGUAAUGGCUCACCAAGGCGUCGACGGGUAGCCGGCCUGAGAGGGUGACCGGCCACACUGGGACUGAGACACGGCCCAGACUCCUACGGGAGGCAGCAGUGGGGAAUAUUGCACAAUGGGCGCAAGCCUGAUGCAGCAACGCCGCGUGAGGGAUGACGGCCUUCGGGUUGUAAACCUCUUUUAGCAGGGAAGAAGCGAAAGUGACGGUACCUGCAGAAAAAGCGCCGGCUAACUACGUGCCAGCAGCCGCGGUAAUACGUAGGGCGCAAGCGUUAUCCGGAAUUAUUGGGCGUAAAGAGCUCGUAGGCGGUUUGUCGCGUCUGCUGUGAAAUCCGGAGGCUCAACCUCCGGCCUGCAGUGGGUACGGGCAGACUAGAGUGCGGUAGGGGAGAUUGGAAUUCCUGGUGUAGCGGUGGAAUGCGCAGAUAUCAGGAGGAACACCGAUGGCGAAGGCAGAUCUCUGGGCCGUAACUGACGCUGAGGAGCGAAAGGGUGGGGAGCAAACAGGCUUAGAUACCCUGGUAGUCC